Haliotis rubra (blacklip abalone) is the source of this 437-nucleotide long non-coding RNA. RefSeq lists it as uncharacterized. The transcript has 3 exons. The record is from RefSeq and is a predicted model, not a curated record. Lineage: Eukaryota; Metazoa; Mollusca; Gastropoda; Lepetellida; Haliotidae.
UGGCCUCUCCAUUGCAAGAAAUCAUAGUUGUAAGUGUACAAUAUUAUCAUGGCUUCACAAGUUCAAACUUCAUAUGUAUUAAACGGCUUCAUAUGAUAUUAAACGGCUUCACACACUGUCGACAGUUCAGCAGCGUUAUCGUGGCUUCACAUGAACAACAGGGAUUUCGUGGCUUUACACGUGCUAAACCGACAACAAGGUACUAUUCAGUUAUUAUUCAGACUUACACCUACAUCAGUGAUAUCAUAGCUUUACACGUGCAUUAGCAUGCUUGUGGCUGUACAAGGGCAAGAGCGACUUCACGUUCAAUAACAUCAUGGCUUUACACACAAAGUAUGUACUUUACACGGGCAACAGUGACUCCUGACUUAACAGGUACAGUCGAGACUUAACAACCUUACAUAUCCGCUUCCAUACAGUGGAGAGCUGAUUUACAG